Molecule: long non-coding RNA, 1057 nt
Organism: Cataglyphis hispanica
Lineage: Eukaryota; Metazoa; Arthropoda; Insecta; Hymenoptera; Formicidae
Exons: 3
Source: RefSeq, a predicted model, not a curated record
UAUUCGAGAACGUUUUUCUCACACGGAUUGCGUCGACACUGCGAUUUAAGUUUUCACUACGAGCCGGCGCGCCCGAAUCACUCGCGAAUCGAUCGCGAAUCGAAUAUUCAAAGUUGUCCGAUUGUUGUUUUUGCAGACAACAAACACAAUAUUUCUCGCAUUUCGCGCAAAAUAUUUUCGUUAUCUUCGCGACGCAAUCUCGGCCGCGUAAUUAAAAGACUGUUCUCAACUCUUGGAGUGAUUGUUUUUAACGCACUUUUAUUAGUGCUCCUGCAAUGCCGUUAUUAUUUUAAACGUUUUCAGUGCUGCCAACACUUAUAAUAGUUUUUACAGAAAUAAUCUAGUAAUUGAAGAAUAUAUUUUUGCGUUGAUGGUCCAAUCUUUUAAACACUUUCUUAUAUAUUUACGAUGAUUAUUAACAACUUUGUGGAAAAAUAGAAACAAUUAGAAACAAUUACAAAAUUAUAUAUAUUUUUAUCGCAAAAUAAUUAUUGUAUUUUCAAAUUAUGGGUAAAUAACAGACGGUAGACAGUAGGCGACAUCUGACAAGCAGCCAGUAUCCGUCGAUGUGCACUGGUCGAUAUAGAAGGAAUUCACGUCACACAUGCAACUGCGGAACUGCAAUACCGUCCGAAUAAAUCUAUCAACAGAGGGCUGCAAAAUCGGAUCGCUAUUUAAAAAAUUUUUUAAAUCUUUCUCAUCUCUUUUCAUUAUAAAAUGAAGCUUAGAGAAGUCAACGAAAACACUUUAAUUGCAUAACGUGCAAUUACCGAAUUACUGGACAACGCGAAAAAUCAAAUUUCCAGCAGAUAGAAAGAAAGGACAACAAUGCUUCAAGGUACAUUUGAUCUGACGUGCGUCUGAUGGAAAUGCAAUUGAGUUACCGAUGUCGGUAGCCACCGCCCGUCGACUUUGUUUUUCAACACGCUUCGGUAACGAGGCGAAUUCCAGCGCAAACUCGCUCGAAAGUUUCAGUACCUCCAGCUAAACGCUUGAAUUUCGAAGGAUGAUUUCUUUUGUCGCGCGAGUUAUUCCACGAGGAGAAGCGCUUAUCCAA